AGAGUUUGAUCCUGGCUCAGAUUGAACGCUGGCGGCAUGCUUUACACAUGCAAGUCGAGCGGCAGCGCGGGGGCAACCCUGGCGGCGGGCGGCGAACGGGUGAGGAAUACAUCGGAACGUACCCCGGAGUGGGGGAUAACCCAGCGAAAGUUGGGCUAAUACCGCAUAUGCUCUGAGGAGGAAAGUGGGGGAUUCGCAAGAACCUCACGCUCUGGGAGCGGCCGAUGUCCGAUUAGCUUGUUGGUGGGGUAAUGGCUCACCAAGGCGACGAUCGGUAGCUGGUCUGAGAGGAUGAUCAGCCACACUGGGACUGAGACACGGCCCAGACUCCUACGGGAGGCAGCAGUGGGGAAUUUUGGACAAUGGGGGCAACCCUGAUCCAGCCAUGCCGCGUGCGGGAAGAAGGCCUUCGGGUUGUAAACCGCUUUUGGUCGGGAAGAAAAGGCGCCACCUAAUACGGGGCGUUCUUGACGGUACCGGCAGAAUAAGCACCGGCUAACUACGUGCCAGCAGCCGCGGUAAUACGUAGGGUGCGAGCGUUAAUCGGAAUUACUGGGCGUAAAGCGUGCGCAGGCGGUCUGUUAUGUCUGAUGUGAAAGCCCCGGGCUCAACCUGGGAAUGGCAUUGGAAACUGGCAGGCUCGAGUUUGGCAGAGGGGGGUGGAAUUCCGCGUGUAGCAGUGAAAUGCGUAGAGAUGCGGAGGAACACCGAUGGCGAAGGCAGCCCCCUGGGCUAAGACUGACGCUCAGGCACGAAAGCGUGGGGAGCAACAGGAUUAGAUACCCNNGUAGUCC
RNAcentral lists this ribosomal RNA (794 nucleotides) under uncultured bacterium. RNAcentral describes it as "bacterial SSU rRNA". It matches the Rfam family "Bacterial small subunit ribosomal RNA", at positions 8 to 796 of the family's 1533-position model. The record is from RNAcentral.